AUGGAGAUGGUGAAAGCAUGCAUGCGGCCUGCCGCCUCCGCGUCCUCGCGGCCCCGCGUGCUCGUGCUCGGCGGGACUGGCCGUGUCGGCGGCUCAACGGCCACCGCGCUCUCCCAGUUCCGGCUCGACCUCAACAUCCUCAUCGGCGGAAGGAACCGGGAGAAAGGUGUGCUGCUGGUAUCUAAGCUCGGACAGCGAUCUGAAUUCGUCCACGUUGAUAUUCACAAUUCAAGCAGGCUGAAAGAGGUGUUGGAGGGCGUGGAUUUGGUGAUUCAUGCCGCUGGACCAUUCCAGAGGGAUGACAAAUGCACAGUCCUGCAGGCAGCAGUAUUUACCAAGACAGGGUACACUGAUAUCUGCCAUGGAGUGGACUAUUCAUGGAGGGCAAAAUCUUUCCAUGAACAAGCAAAAGCUUCCGGCGUCCCAGCUCUCAUAACUGCAGGGAUAUCUCCUGGAGUGAGCAAUGUGAUGGCAGCUGAGCUUGUACGUACUGCAAAAGGCGAGAGUGGUGGUGAACCAGAAACACUGAGAUUCUUCUAUUACAUUGCAGGUACAGGUGGUGCAGGCCCAACUACGUUGGGCACAAGCUUGUUACUUCUUGGGGAGGAUGUAAUUGCCUAUGAUAAAGGGAGCGAAAUCAAACUAAAAGCCUACAGUGGAGCUCGCAACAUUGAUUUUGGAAAAGGGAUUGGGAAGAAAUAUGUUUACUUGAUGAACUUACCGGAGGUGAAGAGCACACACAAAAACUUAGGUCUGCCAACUGUUCAUGCUCAAUUUGGUUCAGAUCCUUUCAUCUGGAAUUGGGGAAUGGAAACGUUCGCAAACUUCUUGCCUUCUGACCUCUUGAGAGAUAAAAAUGUCACUCUAAAGUUUGCUGAGUGUGUUGACCCUUUCAUUCGAGUUAUUGAUGGGAUUGUAGGAGAGCGUGUCGCCAUGAGAAUUGAUCUCGAAAGUUCAAAUGGGCACACCACUACUGGAUUAUUUGCUCACAACAAUCUAUCCGUAUCAGUGGGCUAUGCAGCGGCCGCAUUUGCUCUAGCAGUUCUAGAAGGCAGCACAAAGCCAGGGGUUUGGUUUCCAGAAGAGCCAGAGGGAAUAGCUAUUGAUGCAAGGAAGCUCUUGCUCCGACGGGCAUCUCGAGGAGUAACGAACUUCACAAUGAACAAGAAUUCCGGGAUGAUAGAAUGCUGA
Molecule: ribosomal RNA, 1191 nt
Filed under: Triticum aestivum (bread wheat)
Lineage: Eukaryota; Viridiplantae; Streptophyta; Magnoliopsida; Poales; Poaceae
Description: partial small subunit ribosomal RNA
Source: RNAcentral